Molecule: ribosomal RNA, 467 nt
Filed under: uncultured bacterium
Lineage: Bacteria
Description: partial 16S ribosomal RNA
Rfam family: Bacterial small subunit ribosomal RNA
Source: RNAcentral
AGUGAACGCUGGCGGUAGGCCUAACACAUGCAAGUCGAACGGCAGCACAGUAAGAGCUUGCUCUUACGGGUGUCGAGUGGCGGACGGGUGAGGUAUACAUCGGAAUCUACUUUUUCGUGGGGGAUAACGUAGGGAAACUUACGCUAAUACCGCAUACGACCUACGGGUGAAAGCAGGGGAUCUUCGGACCGUGGGCGAUUGGAUGAGCCGAUGACGGAUUAGCUAGUUGGCGGGGUAAAGGCGCACUAAGGCGACGAUCCGUAGCUGGUCUGAGAGGAGGAGCAGCCACACCGGGACGGAGCCACGGUCGAGAAUAGUACGGGAUGCGGCGGGGGGGAAUAUUGGACAAUGGGCGGGAGCAUGAAGCAGCAAUGCCGUGUGAGUGAUGAUGGUCUGGGGAAAGAAAAGCCCGUGUACCCGCCAGGAUAUUGACAGUACCGGGAGAAUAAGCGCCGGCUAACUCCGUG